GUGCAGCCAGGCGAGAAUCUUCGGCAUGGGCGAAGCCUGACCGAGCGACGCCGCGUGCCCGAAGGAAGCCUUUCGGGGUGUAAAGGGCUUUUCUUGGGGAUAAAUUCGCUCCUCACUUUCGUUCGGAAUUAUAUUGAGAAACGAGCGGAAGGUGAGGAGCGGAAUGAUAGUACCCCAAGGAAUAAGGGACCUCUAAUCGACGUGCCAGCAGAGGCGGUAAUACGUGAGUCCCAAGCGUUAUCCGGGAUUACUGGGCGUAAAGCGGUGCGUAGGCGGUCCAAUAGUCAUGUGUUAAAUCCUUAAGCUCAACUUAAGGGCUGCAUAUGAUACGUUUGGACUAGACCCAGUCAGAGGCCGGCGGAACUCACGGUGUAGGGGUGAAAUCCGUU
Molecule: ribosomal RNA, 389 nt
Filed under: uncultured microorganism
Description: bacterial SSU rRNA
Rfam family: Bacterial small subunit ribosomal RNA
Source: RNAcentral